RNAcentral lists this unclassified non-coding RNA (960 nucleotides) under Mesorhizobium sp. CIRADAc14. RNAcentral describes it as "16S-23S intergenic spacer". The stretch from base 297 to 370 matches the Rfam family "tRNA". The record is from RNAcentral. Lineage: Bacteria; Pseudomonadati; Pseudomonadota; Alphaproteobacteria; Hyphomicrobiales; Phyllobacteriaceae.
UCCCCUCCUUUCUAAGGAAGAACCCUAAUGGAAACGCUCGUUCAUCGAGCCUCUGCCUUUCGGUUCUCUUGGAACAAGACGGAAGAGAGUCACUCUUACCGUCGCGCAUACACAAAGCGGUUCUGCCGCCUUCGUUUCUCUUUCUUCAGCGAAUGACUUUGACUUGCGCUCGCGCGCCGUACCGCAGCCCUUUGGGCUGCUGGCGCUCCGCGAGGGCGCGGCACGAGCCGCGACGGCCGGUCGGCCUUGCGAGACGUGCGUCUCGUUGGCGAAAGCCGAUUUAAGGCGCAGUCUAAGGGCUUGUAGCUCAGUUGGUUAGAGCGCGCGCUUGAUAAGCGUGAGGUCGGAGGUUCAAGUCCUCCCAGGCCCACCACUUCCUUUCGACACGAAGGUUAUCAGGGGCCGUAGCUCAGCUGGGAGAGCGCCUGCUUUGCAAGCAGGAUGUCGUCGGUUCGAUCCCGUCCGGCUCCACCAUCUUCCCUGGAAGAGGUGUCGAGUAGAGAUGAUCACCGGUGGUCAGUCAUUCGAAAAAGAGUUUGCGCCGGGCCGAGUGCUCUGCGCCUGUUCUGUUUGACAUCGUAAAGAGAAGAUUUGUUCGAACUUCAUGAGCCGAAAGGGCCAUGAUUUGUCGCAAGGGACGCUCAAUCCCUUGCCUAUGAUGGGUCUGCCUAACCGCGCCCUCGAACGGAUCUCGAGAAGCUGGUCUUUUUGUGCCAAUUCCAUUGAAGCGGGUCCGCACAGGAUCCGGUUCGAGCGACAAUCCUUCGGAUUGCGCUUAGCUAAUCCCGCAAGGGGUUUGGCUGAAGCGACGAUUUCUUCGAAAUCGUGCGAUGGGUAUUGGCAAUGAGAACGAUCAAGUGUCUUAAGGGCAAUUGGUGGAUGCCUUGGCAUGCACAGGCGAUGAAGGACGUGAUACGCUGCGAUAAGCUACGGGGAGGUGCGAAUACCCUUUGAUCCGUA